GUGUACACAAGAUAGAGCCUUAAUCAAGUUUUUAUAAACUUUACUAUUAAAUCCACCUUCAAAAGUUAUUUCAAAAACUUUAUCCGUAUAAAUCCUUAUAAUGUAACCCACCUCUAACUUUUAUAUUAGCUGCACCUUUACUUGAAGUCUUUAAUUUUUUUUAUAACAGAAAGUUUUCUAAAGAAACUAACUGACAACAGCGAUAUACAAACUGAUUACAAAUAAAAGUAAUGUUACUCGUGGUUCAUCGUUUACAGGGCAGGUUCCUCUAAAUAGCUAUCUUGCCGCCAAAUCCGUUAAAUUUCAUUAUUAAUACUAUUCCAAAAUUUUAUUAUUAAAGUA
Molecule: ribosomal RNA, 342 nt
Filed under: Savignium sp. 1 MM-2014
Lineage: Eukaryota; Metazoa; Arthropoda; Thecostraca; Balanomorpha; Pyrgomatidae
Description: partial 12S ribosomal RNA
Source: RNAcentral